This 440-nucleotide ribosomal RNA is filed under the name uncultured bacterium. Its description in RNAcentral is "partial 16S ribosomal RNA". It matches the Rfam family "Bacterial small subunit ribosomal RNA", at positions 338 to 795 of the family's 1533-position model. The record is from RNAcentral.
CCUACGGGAGGCAGCAGUGGGGAAUAUUGCACAAUGGGGGAAACCCUGAUGCAGCGACGCCGCGUGCGUGAGGAAGUAUCUCUGUAUGUAAAGCUCUAUCUGCAGGGAAGUAAAUGCCGGUACCUGACUAAGUAGGCCCGGCUAACUAGGUUCCAGCACCCGCGGUAAUACGUAGGGGGCCAGCGUUAUCGGGAUUUACUGGGUGUAAAGGGACCGUAGACGGGAGAGCAAGUCUGUUGUGAAAACCCGAGGCUCAACUCCGGUAGUGCCUUUGAAACUGUUGAUCUAGAGUGUCGGAGAGGCAAGCGGAAUUCCUAGGGUAGCGGUGAAAUGCGUAGAUAUUAGGAGGAACACCGGUUGCGAAGGCAGCUUGCUGGACGACUUCUGACGUUGAGGCUCGAAAGCGUGGGGAGCAAACAGGAUUAGAUACCCUAGUAGUC